Molecule: ribosomal RNA, 253 nt
Filed under: uncultured bacterium
Lineage: Bacteria
Description: partial 16S ribosomal RNA
Rfam family: Bacterial small subunit ribosomal RNA
Source: RNAcentral
UACGUAGGGGGCAAGCGUUGUCCGGAAUCAUUGGGCGUAAAGCGCGCGUAGGCGGCCUUGUAAGUCAGAGGUGAAAGCCCGGAGCUCAACUUCGGAAUAGCCUUUGAGACUGCAUCGCUUGAAUCCGGGAGAGGUGAGUGGAAUUCCGAGUGUAGAGGUGAAAUUCGUAGAUAUUCGGAAGAACACCAGUGGCGAAGGCGGCUCACUGGACCGGUAUUGACGCUGAGGUGCGAAAGCGUGGGGAGCAAACAGG